GCUGAGUAGCUCAGUCGGUUAGAGCAUUGCCCUAAUAUGCCAAGGUUGUGGGUUCGACCCCCAUUCUUGGCA
Non-coding RNA from Myotis davidii, 72 nucleotides. Lineage: Eukaryota; Metazoa; Chordata; Mammalia; Chiroptera; Vespertilionidae. The record is from Rfam.